This is a long non-coding RNA of Cottoperca gobio, 938 nucleotides long. RefSeq lists it as uncharacterized. The transcript is spliced from 4 exons. NCBI's taxonomy places the organism in Eukaryota, Metazoa, Chordata, Actinopteri, Perciformes, Bovichtidae. The record is from RefSeq and is a predicted model, not a curated record.
CCUGCAUCGGAAUCCUGCCUGCCUGCAAAUCACGACGGACACGUCCCCUUUAAGAGAACCAGGAAGUGCAUGGGAGCAGAAAAAGGGGCGGUGCUUCAGGGCGGGGAGGUGCGUUGUGAGGAAACAGGUGUGUGUGCUGACAGGGUGAUGUCAUUGUGUGGCGGAGUCACCUGGGAGCAAAGCGUGGACACAGAUAGAGGAAGAGGAGGCCACGAGAAGCUUCAUCACUCCUGUUUUCUCCCCGAGGAGGCGCUGGUGUGAGGAGGAGCAGGAGGAGGAGGCGUUAGAAUACUGCUGCCUGUCAAGCCUCCUCUGAUGCGCAGUAGGAACAUUGACUUCACGGCUGCGGUGUGUUGAUGACUUGGAGUGUCAGGCUGAGAUGUUCCUUCCUGUCGACCGUCUUUACAUCCACAGCUGACGAGUCGCUGCAGACGUCGCGCAGGGACACGACGAAGGAGCUAAUUCCUCCUUUCACUGGGUGGAAUCAUUAGGCCCCAAAUCUUCCCCCCAGACUGACUGCCAACGAGGUCAGCAGCGAGAGAAGCUUCACGUCCUGUGCCCAGAAAGCUUCUUAGAAAAUAUCUUACUUUAGUGAUUCUCUUGUGGAAAUGAAAGAUUUAAUUUGAAUCCUUAGGAGACGAAACAUAAGUGAUUUAUCUUUUAAAAAGUCAAAGAAUGAGGUUAAAUGACCUCAUUUUGUCCUUCAUCCUCCUCCUCUCCAUCACACACCUUUCACACAUGUAUAUUAAUAUGAUUUUAUAUUAAUCGUGCAGCUGAAAGUCCUUGACUGAAAGAAAACAAAGACCUUGCAAAAUCUUCAACCUUUAAUUCAACUUUAAAUGCUUUGUAAAGUUAUGAAUUUGUAACGUUAUGAAUUUGUAAAGUUUUGUAUUUGGUGAAAGCUUCUGAAAUGUGAGAAGCUGCUUUCAGUGUUUUAU